Non-coding RNA from Coturnix japonica (Japanese quail), 345 nucleotides. NCBI's taxonomy places the organism in Eukaryota, Metazoa, Chordata, Aves, Galliformes, Phasianidae. The record is from RefSeq and is a predicted model, not a curated record.
CCCACCCCAUCCCAUCCCAUCCCACCCCAUCCCAUUCCAUCCCUUCACAGGAGGCGCCCAGGGCAGCGCCUGGGAAACACAGCCAGUGGUAUCCGUGGCAUUAAGAAGCACAGGUGGUUUGGGGCCAUCCGAUGGAAGCGACUUGCGCUGCGGCAGAUGGAGGCACCCACUAUGCAGCUACUGAAAGAGGGCCCUCCCUAUGCCAACUUCAAGAGGUUCUCGGUCGAUUCGACGCCGGCAGAGGAUGAGCUUUCAGGAUGGGAUGAGGAGUUCUGAUGGCAAUGGGAUGAUGCUGGGGCCCCCUCUGGAAGGGCAAUAAAGUGACGGGGCAAGAAGGAGGCAGGA